AAGCUGUGUGGCCAUAUCUGGAUGACUGAGUCUUCCUAAGCCCUCCUCAUAUGUUCCUCUUUUGAGUGUAAAUCCCAGCAGGCUCCAGAGACUUGUCCUUCCUGAAGGAUGUCAGAACACAUGGAUCCACCCUUUAUCAGAAAAACAGGCUACUCGUCCUGCUGGUCACUCUCAGAUGACAACUGUAAGCUCCUUGAAGCCUGAAGAAAAGACUCUGCUUCUGGGGGUUGCUGAAAGUCCGACCUUCACUCUGAGACAGAAAGACAAGGAGACAGAGGAGAGAUAUCAUAGCACUACUCUAGUGUUUAAGGAGCUUCCUCUGAUACUGGACACGAUGCUCCCAUGUGGUGCUGUGAACCCAGGUCCUUAUGGUUAAGUGUGAAAUCUUCCAGGGGGACUAUCCUGGGCCUAAAAUGUUCUGG
Erinaceus europaeus (western European hedgehog) is the source of this 422-nucleotide long non-coding RNA. RefSeq lists it as uncharacterized. Lineage: Eukaryota; Metazoa; Chordata; Mammalia; Eulipotyphla; Erinaceidae. The record is from RefSeq and is a predicted model, not a curated record. The transcript has 3 exons.